This 305-nucleotide ribosomal RNA is filed under the name uncultured bacterium. RNAcentral's name for it is "bacterial SSU rRNA". It matches the Rfam family "Bacterial small subunit ribosomal RNA", at positions 333 to 655 of the family's 1533-position model. The record is from RNAcentral.
UUUUUCCUACGGGGGGCAGCAGUGGGGAAUAUUGCACAAUGGGGGAAACCCUGAUGCAGCGACGCCGCGUGAGCGAUGAAGUAUUUCGGUAUGUAAAGCUCUAUCAGCAGGGAAGAAAAUGACGGUACCUGACUAAGAAGCCCCGGCUAACUACGUGCCAGCAGCCGCGGUAAUACGUAGGGGGCAAGCGUUAUCCGGAUUUACUGGGUGUAAAGGGAGCGUAGACGGCGAUGCAAGCCAGAUGUGAAAGCCCGGGGCUCAACCCCGGGACUGCAUUUGGAACUGUAUAGCUAGAGCGUCGGAGG